CCCUUAGAUGUCCUGGGCCGCACGCGCGCUACACUGACAUGUUCAACAAGCCUCCUAGUUCGACAGGAUUUGGGAAAUCUUUGAACGCAUGUCGUGAUAGGGAUAGAUCAUUGCAAUUAUUGAUCUUGAACGAGGAAUUCCUAGUAAACGCGAGUCAUCAGCUCGCAUUGAUUACGUCCCUGCCCUUUGUACACACCGCCCGUCGCACCUACCGAUUGGAUGGUCCGGUGAAGCCUCGGGAUUGUGGUUCUUGCCGCUUUAUUGUGGCGUGACCGCGAGAACUUGUCUAAACCUUAUCAUCUAGAGGAAGGUGAAGUCGUAACA
This 324-nucleotide ribosomal RNA is filed under the name uncultured eukaryote. Its description in RNAcentral is "partial 18S ribosomal RNA". It matches the Rfam family "Eukaryotic small subunit ribosomal RNA", at positions 1470 to 1796 of the family's 1831-position model. The record is from RNAcentral.